Long non-coding RNA from Heterocephalus glaber (naked mole-rat), 4403 nucleotides. NCBI's taxonomy places the organism in Eukaryota, Metazoa, Chordata, Mammalia, Rodentia, Bathyergidae. The record is from Ensembl.
GUUUCUGCCGCCGCCGCCCGCUUCCGGUCAGCUCCCGGCUCCCGGCGGGCGUGGGCUUUCUGGGGGUGUCAGGAUCCGGGGCUGUGUCUCCCGGGUGUCCUGGAGACCGCUGGGCCCCACCGCUUGGUGAUGCUGAGCUCCGCGGUGGGCAGUGCUCGUGCUAAGUGCCAGCUGUCCCUAGGUACCCGGGCUGUCACCUCCCGGGUUAGCCUCCCGCGCUAAGCGUUUCCCGGACUCCUUCCCGCUGACCCCGCACCACACCGGCUGUCGCCUCCCGGCGUCUCAGUGCGUACCCCCACUCACUUCCACCCCUUCUCUGAGGUGUCGCCGUGCCCAGAGCCCUGCGCCUGUUGGUGGCGCUGUCAGAGCCCCCUGUGGAUGUGUGACCGACCCAUCACUGAGACGCCAGGGCCUGCACCUGUCCUCCGUCCCCCACCUGCACCCUUUGGGAUGUGAGGCUUCCCAGGCUGAAGAGGACCUUUUCUCGGGGGUCCUGCUGGGGCGACAACCCACUUGUGUAGUGUUGGUGCCCCGAGGGCUAAGGUUUCUGUCUGCUUUGGUGUCUGCGUUGGCAUCCCACCUGGGUUCCAGGUGUCCCAUCCCCGCUGUGUGUGUCCCCACCGAGGUUGGGGACCCCCUUGGGGUGGGGGACCCUGACUAAUGCCUCUCACCCUCUAUUUUUUUUUUUUUUGGUAUCAGGGAUCGAACUUGGGUCCUUUCGCUUGCGCAGCAGGUGGCAAAGCCACUGAGCUAAAUCCCCCGGCCCCUCACCAUCUUUCUUGUGAUUUGUCACCAUGUGAGACUAAGGCGAAGGCUUCUUGUGGCUCGUGCAGGGUGCCUGAGACUCGGGGCGGGGGACCUCACCCUAGUCCCCUUCCCUAGAGUGUAACUUUCCAGGGUGGGGUUCGCAGCCCCCAGCUUGGUGUUGGGCCUACCCAGGUCCUGACCCAUGCUCCUCCUGGAACUGUGAGUCCUCUGUGUGGCAGCGCUGGCAGCCUCCCGGACAUCAAGGCUCCACGUCCCACAGUGCUCCCAAGCUCCCUGCGAAGAGCAUGAGCCGCUACCACAGUCCAGGACCCUGUGUGCGCACAAGACUGCCCCAGUGUGAGGGCCCAAGCCUGGUCUCCCUCACUGAGUCUGUGCUCAGGCUCCUGUCCCCUGACGUGAAGCUCUGCAGGCUCUUUGCUGGCGCUGGCUCUGUGGGGUUGAUGUGCUGCUCAGACACCUGCCCCUUUAGUGUGCCUCCUUCUUGAACACAGGUCCUCAUGGCAGAGCCUCCUGGGCCAGGGGUCCCCGAUCUCUGUGCUGGGUGGGCCCCCUUGCUGUCCAAGCACACUUGCUUCUGUGGAGGCCCUGCCUGCCUCUAGAGGCCUUGCAGUGGUUACUUCCCCAGGAGGGGCCUGGUGGGGUUCUAGGCCCAUGGGCUCUUCCUUGGUGCAGCGCCGGCCUCCUUCCCCUGCCUCUGCCGGGGUCUGAGGUACCGGUGCCCUCUCCGUGUGGGGCGUGAUGGAGCAGGCGCUGUUGCCUCCACUGCGGCUGAGGCACCAGGUCCCCGCGGCACUCAUCCUUCUCUGUGGAGCUGUUGUGUUUCCCACCAGGAUGCUCCUUGCUGGUCAAGCUAUGCCCACUUUGGUAUCUGGAGUGUCGCCCCAGGACCUUCCUCUUCUGUGGCACCUUGGGCCUGACUCCUUCGAGAGUUCUUGCUGCCACAGGACACUCGCCUCCUCCCCAGUGCUGGGGUCCCAGUUCCUGCGGGGAGGGGGCUUGCUGAGGCAUCAUCCCGAGUGUAGAGUGCUGGGUUCAGGGCGCAGCCUGAGGGCCGUGUUCUGGGCUGGAGUGCCUGCCAGGGGCUCUCUGUCGGGCUCUUGGGGAGAGAGGGAGGGUGAGCUCUGUCCCUGCUGUGCGAAGAGGCUUUCUUUGUUGGCCAGGUCCCUGUACCCCUCAUGCUGGUGUCCAGGUCCCUGGCUGAGCUCCCCGCCUCAGAGGUGGCCGCCCCAGCCAUUUGGAGUCCACUGUGGAACUGUCUCCUGGGUCCUUCACUGCUUGCUGUGCCCCCUGGAGGCGCCCAUGUGUGAUGUGCCAGCUGCCUGGGCUGAGGGCACUGGUCUUUGUCUUGAUGGGCCGUUUGCUGAGGAAGGCUGAGCCCCUGAGUCUUAUACCAGCCCUGCCUACCUGCUUCCACCCAGAACAGGGACCUGUUCCUCCCAGGCCUCCUGUCCCGAAGCCUCCUACCCAGCCCCACGUGGCUGUUAGUAAGAAGUUACAGUGAGCCGGAAAAUCUCAGCUUCUGCAUCUCGAGCGUGAGCAGUGGCCGUGUUUUGUGGAUCACAGUGGUUCUCUUCAGGGGUCCCCUCCUCGUCUGCAAGGGUCACCUUGGUUUGUCUGUUAAGGGUCUGAGUCUUGCGUGUGGGCGGUCUCUGCUUUGUGGUGGGGGCUAGCCUGGGCACCUGCCCGGGGGCAGUGGAAGCCCCCAGGUCGCAGAACCCUGCUUUUCGGGGUGCAGCUUCUGCCCACAGCCCAAGCCCUCCGCACAGCCCAGCCCCUUGCUAGGUUCCCUGCUCACAGUGUCAGGCCUGGUGGGGUGGCUUCCCUUGACCGCAGUCCUCUAGGCUGCGUACAGCUUCCUUCAGGGCAGAGAUGUUUUGGGUGCCUGCCCUAUAGCUUAGGUUUCUCUGAGUGAGUGUAACUUGCCAGUACAUUUGAUACGGAAUUGUCUCACGUGUGCAGCUCCCAGCUAAGGUACCUUUCCAGCCUCUUGUCUUUGAAAGAUUUCUGUCUUCCCCUGGUCCUCCCGGAAGACUGCCUCCGGCCACCCAUCUCCAACCCUCCUGCAGCUGGGCUCGGGGGUGGGAGUGCGAUCCUUUUGGGUCGAGGAUUCUGUUGUGCAUAGACUUGGAGGCCCUGGCCCUCCGGUUGGGGCCCACCUGGCCGCAGUGGGUCCAGCCCUCCAUGGCCCUGGGCAGUGCUUGUCGCCCUCUUCCACCUCCCCAGCUCACAUGUGUGAACGCGCGCGGUGUCUGUGAGGUACCGGUGCCGGCUUCUCCUGCCGUGUCUGAAGUGACCGUGUGACUGGCCCCGCUCUGAAAAUUCCUUUGAGUGUGGACUGGGGAAAAGAGGCGGCGUAUUCUAGGAGCUUCCCACUUCCUGGGUGGGAGGCCCACUCGAAGACUCCACCGGUCUUUCCUUGGAAACCCAGCACCCUCCUGGUCCUGGUCCCUCCCACCUGCGCCGCCCCAGGUCCGGAACAACUGGAGAGUUGGUAACGCCUCGCCUGCCUCUCUCCUCCCCUCCCGUCCCCGCAGUGUCCCCAGGAGAGUAUGAAGAGAGCGCGUCCGUAGGGCAGGAAGAUGGCGGACAAGCGCAAACUCCAAGGUGAGAUUGAUCGCUGCCUGAAGAAGGUGUCCGAGGGCGUGGAGCAGUUUGAGGACAUUUGGCAGAAGCUCCACAAUGCAGCCAAUGCGAACCAGAAGGAGAAGUAUGAGGCUGACCUGAAGAAGGAAAUUAAGAAGCUACAAAGGCUGAGGGACCAGAUCAAGACAUGGGUCGCCUCCAAUGAGAUCAAGGACAAGCGGCAGCUCAUAGACAACCGAAAACUCAUCGAGACGAGCCCCCUGCCAACUGCACUCUCCACAGCAAAUGGAACGGUUCAAAGUUGUGGAGCGAGAGACCAAGACCAAAGCUUACAGCAAGGAGGGCCUGGGUCUGGCGCAGAAGGUGGACCCUGCCCAGAAGGAGAAGGGAAGAGGUUGGCCAGUGGCUCACGAACACCAUCGACACCCUAAACAUGCAGGUGGACCAGUUUGAGAGCGAGGUGGAGUCUCUGUCAGUGCAGACACGCAAGAAGAAGGGUGACAAGGAUAAGCAGGACCGGAUUGAGGGCCUGAAGCGUCACAUCGAGAAGCACCGCUACCACGUGCGCAUGCUGGAGACCAUCCUGCGCAUGCUGGACAACGACUCCAUCCCUCGUGGACGCCAUCCGCAAGAUCAAGGAUGACGUCGAGUACUACGUCGACUCCUCUCAGGACCCUGACUUCGAGGAGAAUGAGUUUCUCUACGAUGACCUGGACCUCGAGGACAUUCCACAGGCGCUGGUCGCCACCCUCCCCCCAGCCACAGCCACAUGGAGGACGAGAUCUUCAAUCAGUCCAGCAGCACGCCCACGUCCACCACCUCCAGCUCUCCCAUCCCGCCCAGCCCAGCCAACUGCACCACGGAGAACUCUGAAGAUGAUAAGAAGAGGGGCCGCUCCACCGACAGUGAGGUCAGCCAGUCUCCAGCCAAAAAUGGCUCCAAGCCUGUCCACAGCAGCCAGCACCCCCAGCCCCCAGCCGUGCCGCCUCCUACCCCUCGGGGCCCCCACCUGCCACCUCUGCCUUGAGUGCUGCCCCUGGCAGCAAUGGGGC